GGGAGGCUGCAGUAAGGAAUAUUGGUCAAUGGACGCAAGUCUGAACCAGCCAUGCCGCGUGAAGGAUUAAGGCCCUCUGGGUUGUAGACUUCUUUUAUAUGGGAAGAAAUGUACCGAUUCUUCGGUACUUGACGGUACUAUAGGAAUAAGCACCGGCUAACUCCGUGCCAGCAGCCGCGGUAAUACGGAGGGUGCAAGCGUUAUCCGGAUUCACUGGGUUUAAAGGGUGCGUAGGCGGGCAGAACAGUCAGUGGUGAAAUCUCCGAGCUUAACUCGGAAACUGCCGUUGAUACUAUUUGUCUUGAAUAUUGUGGAGGUAAGCGGAAUAUGUCAUGUAGCGGUGAAAUGCAUAGAUAUGACAUGGAACACCAAUUGCGAAGGCAGCUUACUACACAACGAUUGACGCUGAGGCACGAAAGCGUGGGUAGCGAACAGGAUUAGAUACCCUGGUAGUCCACGCCCUAAACGAUGAUUACUCGACAUACGCGAUACACAGUGUGUGUCUCAAGCGAAAGCAUUAAGUAAUCCUACCUGGGAAGUACGA
RNAcentral lists this ribosomal RNA (544 nucleotides) under uncultured bacterium. RNAcentral's name for it is "bacterial SSU rRNA". It matches the Rfam family "Bacterial small subunit ribosomal RNA", at positions 343 to 885 of the family's 1533-position model. The record is from RNAcentral.